Molecule: ribosomal RNA, 288 nt
Filed under: uncultured bacterium
Lineage: Bacteria
Description: partial 16S ribosomal RNA
Rfam family: Bacterial small subunit ribosomal RNA
Source: RNAcentral
GGAUUAGAUACCCUGGUAGUCCACGCAGUAAACGAUGAUAACUCGUUGUCGGCGAUACACAGUCGGUGACUAAGCGAAAGCGAUAAGUUAUCCACCUGGGGAGUACGUUCGCAAGAAUGAAACUCAAAGGAAUUGACGGGGGCCCGCACAAGCGGAGGAACAUGUGGUUUAAUUCGAUGAUACGCGAGGAACCUUACCCGGGCUUGAAAGUUAGUGAUCGACCAAGAGAUUGGUUUUCCCUUCGGGGCACGAAACUAGGUGCUGCAUGGUUGUCGUCAGCUCGUGCCG